Molecule: small nucleolar RNA, 94 nt
Filed under: Paecilomyces variotii No. 5
Lineage: Eukaryota; Fungi; Ascomycota; Eurotiomycetes; Eurotiales; Thermoascaceae
Description: Byssochlamys spectabilis No. 5 A. fumigatus snoRNA Afu_335
Rfam family: A. fumigatus snoRNA Afu_335
Source: Rfam by way of RNAcentral
UCUCGUGAUGAUCAUCCUGAUAGGGACAUCUGAUGCAAAGCACUUGAUGUGAACAGGAAAGAAUAUUUUAGUAGAUGCUUCUUUAUAUCUGAAG